UUGACCUCGGAUCAGGUAGGAAUACCCGCUGAACUUAAGCAUAUCAUAUAGGGGGAAGAAAGA
This 63-nucleotide ribosomal RNA is filed under the name Apiospora arundinis. RNAcentral's name for it is "Arthrinium arundinis partial 28S ribosomal RNA". Lineage: Eukaryota; Fungi; Ascomycota; Sordariomycetes; Amphisphaeriales; Apiosporaceae. The record is from RNAcentral.